GCUAGAACAGUGCUUGGCACCUAUUCAGUGCAUGCAUAUUGAUGGAAUGAAGAAUCAAUAUUUAUCAUGUGCAAAGAGGAAAGAAUGGCCCUUUGUUCCUAAAGUCAUUAUUACCUGGCCUGGGGAGGAACAUGAAGAACAGAAACCUGGAGCCAAAUGACCAGCAGCCUGAGCACCAUGAUCAAGAGCAAGGUCACAGGAGAAUGAGACAGAUUUGCUUUGAAACCCAGCUGUGCCAGUUCAGCCUGGACAGGAAAAGAAUUUUGAAAGAGAGCUGGAAAAUGGAUUUAU
Long non-coding RNA from Mustela erminea (ermine), 291 nucleotides. RefSeq lists it as uncharacterized. Lineage: Eukaryota; Metazoa; Chordata; Mammalia; Carnivora; Mustelidae. The record is from RefSeq and is a predicted model, not a curated record. The transcript is spliced from 3 exons.